Long non-coding RNA from Corythoichthys intestinalis (scribbled pipefish), 792 nucleotides. RefSeq lists it as uncharacterized. NCBI's taxonomy places the organism in Eukaryota, Metazoa, Chordata, Actinopteri, Syngnathiformes, Syngnathidae. The transcript is spliced from 3 exons. The record is from RefSeq and is a predicted model, not a curated record.
CAGUGUUCCAGCAUACGCUACCAUGUCAACUGUCCAUUAACGUUUGACCUGAUUGUUUCCUUUGCCUGUCAACAUCAAUAAAGUCCUGUGUCUGUGAUACGCAACUGGUUUCUCCGUUCCCUACGUGACAAUUUUCGCCAACCAAAUGGUCGCAGGGUGCUGGAGCUUUUCCCAGCUGACAUCGGGGGUAACGUGGACUACACCCUAAACUGGUUGCCAGUUCCUUAGUGGCAUAGGAGGAGAGGUAGGGAGAGAGCCAGGAGAUGGGCAGCCUUCAUCUCAAAUCCCUUCGGUUUCACCAAGAUCCUCGGGCAGAAAAGAAGCGGCCAUCUCUCCUGCACCGAAGACAAGGUCAACAACUACCUCAAUGCCUCCUACAGUGACAGUGCAAGAGAGGAAGAUCUUGGGCCAUGCAGAACCUUGUGGAUCAAGCGAGGCUACACGUGGUCACGUGCUCUUAAGACACAAGCCGGGACUUGAUCAACCCCGGCUGGGUCCCCUGGGCGAGGGUGUAUGUUGUGAGACCCGAAACAUCCAGUGAACCCAGAUGCCAACACUGACGAUGUGUCUUAAAUUGCACCAAAAGUGUAAAUUAGAACUAGGUCUAAGAAAUGUGUUAUUUGCAUACUUUGUGUAACAGUAUAUCACCUGAAGGUCAUUUAUAUGGUAUCAUGCCUUUUCCUAUAACAUAUUAGAAAUGCAUUCUUAAUUUCAAAACUCAAACAUGAAUAAAAUGUGCCUGUUAUUGUUAACACAUUUGACUCGAAUACUGAUCUAGAGUUGUUGAUGUGC